Molecule: ribosomal RNA, 300 nt
Filed under: uncultured Bacillus sp.
Lineage: Bacteria; Bacillati; Bacillota; Bacilli; Caryophanales; Bacillaceae
Description: bacterial SSU rRNA
Rfam family: Bacterial small subunit ribosomal RNA (bases 52-300)
Source: RNAcentral
GGUGUGUGAGGUAGUGGGUGGCGGGGUAUGCGUGGGGGUCGAGCGGUGUCCGGUUGUUAUGGGAGUAAAGAGCGUGCAGGCGGCCCUGCCGGUCGGCUGUGAAAACUGGAGGCUUAACCUCCAGACGUCGGUGGGAACCGCAUGGCUAGAGGCCGGAAGAGGAGAUUGGAAUUCCCGGUGUAGCGGUGAAAUGCGCAGAUAUCGGGAAGAACACCCGUGGCGAAGGCGGCUCUCUGGGACGGUACUGACGCUGAGACGCGAAAGCGUGGGGAGCGAACAGGAUUAGAUACCCGAGUAGUC